AUGGCGGCGCGGAAGCUCAUCCUCGGCCUCACAGCAGCAAGGCGAGCCAGUUCUCGGGCCUCUGUACUCCUCCGGGCUUCACCCCUCCUGGAAGCCUCCACUUCUGCCUCCCACGCCACCGCCGCCGCGACGAAUGGAUCGCCAAGGGCGCUGCUCUUCUCCUCUAGGGUCUUCUCGUCGACCCCUCCGGCUCAACAGUCCGCCGGAGAUGUGCCCGCCCCAUCCGCGGUGGACCACAAGUUGAUAAUUCCAGAGGAUAAGUUCCAUAAAUUAGCAGAUGAUACAAUACAUGAUUUGCUUGAAAAACUUGAGGAAUAUGGUGAUUCUCAGCAGAUGGAUGGCUUCGACAUAGAUUAUGGGAAUCAAGUUCUAACAUUGAGGCUAGGCGAUUUGGGGACCUAUGUUGUAAACAAGCAAACGCCAAACAGACAAAUCUGGCUAUCUUCACCUGUGAGUGGGCCUGCGAGGUUUGACUGGGAUGCAGCAACAGACAGUUGGGUUUAUAGGCGGACUGGAGUAAAUCUCAUGCGGCUUCUAGAGAAGGAGAUCGGUGAGCUCUGUGGGACUCCAGUAGACCUUUCAUAA
RNAcentral lists this ribosomal RNA (585 nucleotides) under Triticum aestivum (bread wheat). Its description in RNAcentral is "partial small subunit ribosomal RNA". The record is from RNAcentral. Lineage: Eukaryota; Viridiplantae; Streptophyta; Magnoliopsida; Poales; Poaceae.